GGUAGUGUGGCCGAGUGGUCUAUGCCGCUGGAUUUAGGCUCCAGUCUCUAGAGAGGUGUGGGUUCAAAUCCCACCACUGCCA
Molecule: non-coding RNA, 82 nt
Organism: Cyprinodon tularosa
Lineage: Eukaryota; Metazoa; Chordata; Actinopteri; Cyprinodontiformes; Cyprinodontidae
Source: the annotation of a RefSeq genome assembly